AACUUGAAUAUUAGGAGUUAUGGGCUUUAAAUUCAAAGAAUUUGGCGGUAUUUUAGUCUUGUUAGAGGAACCUGUUCUGUAAGCGAUAUUACACGUAUAAUCUUACUUGCUUUUGUUUUAGCUUGUAUACCGUCAUUAUUAGAUAACCUUUAUUGAGAGAGUUAUUGACCUAUAAAAAAAUUAGAUAUAUUAGAUCAAGGUGCAGCUAAUGGGCAAGUAGAAAUGGGUUACAAUGAAAUUUAUUUAAACGAAUUAAUGUUUGAAAAAUUAUUAUGAAGGAGGAUUUAAUUGUAACAUAAAUUUAAUAAGAUUAUGUGGUAUGAGAACUACAAUAUGUACACAUACGCCCG
RNAcentral lists this ribosomal RNA (350 nucleotides) under Cherax preissii. Its description in RNAcentral is "partial 12S ribosomal RNA". Lineage: Eukaryota; Metazoa; Arthropoda; Malacostraca; Decapoda; Parastacidae. The record is from RNAcentral.